Molecule: ribosomal RNA, 549 nt
Filed under: Pseudomonas anguilliseptica
Lineage: Bacteria; Pseudomonadati; Pseudomonadota; Gammaproteobacteria; Pseudomonadales; Pseudomonadaceae
Description: bacterial SSU rRNA
Rfam family: Bacterial small subunit ribosomal RNA
Source: RNAcentral
GGAAGCCUACCAUGCAAGUCGAGCGGUAGAGAGAAGCUUGCUUCUCUUGAGAGCGGCGGACGGGUGAGUAAUGCCUAGGAAUCUGCCUAGUGGUGGGGGAUAACGUUCGGAAACGGACGCUAAUACCGCAUACGUCCUACGGGAGAAAGCGGGGGAUCUUCGGACCUCGCGCCAUUAGAUGAGCCUAGGUCGGAUUAGCUAGUUGGUGAGGUAAAGGCUCACCAAGGCGACGAUCCGUAACUGGUCUGAGAGGAUGAUCAGUCACACUGGAACUGAGACACGGUCCAGACUCCUACGGGAGGCAGCAGUGGGGAAUAUUGGACAAUGGGCGAAAGCCUGAUCCAGCCAUGCCGCGUGUGUGAAGAAGGUCUUCGGAUUGUAAAGCACUUUAAGUUGGGAGGAAGGGUAGUAACUUAAUACGUUGCUACUUUGACGUUACCGACAGAAUAAGCACCGGCUAACUUCGUGCCAGCAGCCGCGGUAAUACGAAGGGUGCAAGCGUUAAUCGGAAUUACUGGGCGUAAAGCGCGCGUAGGUGGUUCAGUAAGU